GCAAGGAAUUUUGCGCAAUGGGCGAAAGCCUGACGCAGCAACGCCGCGUGAGGGAUGAAGGCCUUCGGGUUGUAAACCUCUUUUCUCAGGGACGAAUAAUGACGGUACCUGGGGAAUAAGCUUCGGCUAACUACGUGCCAGCAGCCGCGGUAAUACGUAGGAAGCAAGCGUUAUCCGGAUUUACUGGGCGUAAAGUGGACGUAGGCGGCCUUGCAAGUCGGAUGUGAAAUCUCCUGGCUUAACUGGGAGGGGUCAUCCGAUACUGUUGGGCUAGAGGACAGCAGGGGAAGGUGGAAUUCCCGGUGUAGUGGUGAAAUGCGUAGAUAUCGGGAGGAACACCAGUGGCGAAGGCGGCCUUCCAGGCUGUUUCUGACGCUGAGGUCCGAAAGUGUGGGGAGCGAACAGGAUUAGAUACCCGGGUAGUCC
RNAcentral lists this ribosomal RNA (426 nucleotides) under uncultured bacterium. Its description in RNAcentral is "bacterial SSU rRNA". It matches the Rfam family "Bacterial small subunit ribosomal RNA", at positions 354 to 796 of the family's 1533-position model. The record is from RNAcentral.